UUCCAGCUGAAAAGUCCCAAAUAAGACGAAACACACGUCCUGGAU
This is a non-coding RNA of Schistosoma rodhaini, 45 nucleotides long. NCBI's taxonomy places the organism in Eukaryota, Metazoa, Platyhelminthes, Trematoda, Strigeidida, Schistosomatidae. The record is from Rfam.